This 484-nucleotide ribosomal RNA is filed under the name uncultured bacterium. Its description in RNAcentral is "partial 16S ribosomal RNA". It matches the Rfam family "Bacterial small subunit ribosomal RNA", at positions 29 to 507 of the family's 1533-position model. The record is from RNAcentral.
AUUGAACGCUGGCGGCAUGCUUUACACAUGCAAGUCGAACGGCAGCGCGGGCUUCGGCCUGGCGGCGAGUGGCGAACGGGUGAGUAAUGCAUCGGAACGUGCCCAGUAGCGGGGGAUAGCCCGGCGAAAGCCGGAUUAAUACCGCAUACGACCUGAGGGUGAAAGCGGGGGACCGAAAGGCCUCGCGCUAUUGGAGCGGCCGAUGUCGGAUUAGCUAGUUGGUGGGGUAAAGGCUUACCAAGGCGACGAUCCGUAGCUGGUCUGAGAGGACGACCAGCCACACUGGGACUGAGACACGGCCCAGACUCCUACGGGAGGCAGCAGUGGGGAAUUUUGGACAAAGGGGGCAACCCUGAUCCAGCGAUGCCGCGUGCGGGAAGAAGGCCUUCGGGUUGUAAACCGCUUUUGUUCGGGAAGAAAUCCUCUGGGCUAAUACCCCGGGGGGAUGACGGUACCGGAAGAAUAAGCACCGGCUAACUACGUG